Meleagris gallopavo (turkey) is the source of this 335-nucleotide non-coding RNA. NCBI's taxonomy places the organism in Eukaryota, Metazoa, Chordata, Aves, Galliformes, Phasianidae. The record is from RefSeq and is a predicted model, not a curated record.
UUCCUCCUUUGUGGAGUUUUCUCUGUUAGCCUUUAUCUUUGGGAACAGAAUGGAGACUUUAUUACAUUCUGAAGGAUGCUGAAAGGAGACUUCAUCACUCCCUACAAUUCCAUGAAAGGAGGUUGUAGCGAGGUAGUGGUCAGCAUCUUCUCCCAAGCAAUAAGCAAUAGGAUAAGAGUAUGUCAGCUGUUUCAAAGCAACCCCACCAGCUAGGGGACGGGGCCGAAGCGCUGGAACGUCAUCAGACCGCCGCAGCACUCACCGACCUCCUCCAGACCCUGCCUCUCUGGGCCUCGUGGGGUCCCGGGGCUGCUCCCCCCUCUCAGAACCGCCCU